This is a non-coding RNA of Salmo salar (Atlantic salmon), 54 nucleotides long. NCBI's taxonomy places the organism in Eukaryota, Metazoa, Chordata, Actinopteri, Salmoniformes, Salmonidae. The record is from Rfam.
UGGGGGCAAACUUGUAAGUCGCUCUGGAUAAGAGCGUCUGCUAAAUGACUUAAA